Drosophila guanche is the source of this 1889-nucleotide long non-coding RNA. RefSeq lists it as uncharacterized. The transcript is spliced from 9 exons. The record is from RefSeq and is a predicted model, not a curated record. NCBI's taxonomy places the organism in Eukaryota, Metazoa, Arthropoda, Insecta, Diptera, Drosophilidae.
AUCUUAAAAAGAAGUAACAUGAAAAUGAAAAAGGGCAGCAAGGCUCUAAUAAGUGUAGUGCAGUGUAAGUGAAGUUAAGUGCAGUGUAAGUGCAGUGUAAGUGAAGUGAAGUGCAAGGAAAAAUAUCUGUUUGGCUGGAAAGGGGCUAAUAGGCGCAACGAUAAGCAAGUCUGGAAGACGAGUACAACGAGGAGCCACAAGGAACAAGGCUGGAAGAUGAAUGCAAAUCUCUCAAAAAGAAAGCAAAUGCUUGAAACACAUUGUUAUGCAACGAUAAACUUAUACUUUGGGAACACGUCGCAAAAUGAGAAGCUAAAGUAAAUGAAGAAGAAGAUUUAUCCGGAAAAGGUUAUACCGUGUUAUAAAAUUCUGAAAAAGAACCAGUCUGUUGGAGGAAGAUGCAGCGAAUGCAGAGAGCGGAAUAAAUAUUUUCGGCAAAUAAAUCAAUAAAGCGAAUGCAUUAAGCAUAUAAGUGAAAAAAUAUAAUGUAAUUAUGCUAACAGGUGAAGUGCAAGAAGAAGCAGAAGUGAAGUGUGAGUGAAGUGAAGUGCAGUUUAAAUGAAAAGAAGAGAAAGAGUGGCGGUAGAGCAGUAGGAACUAGGAAUAGCAAAUCUGCCAAAUAAGUGAAUAAUUCCUAUAAGAGAUAAAUAUAUAUCCUUUAAAUAUAAAGACAAUUUUAUAAUUUUUUUCCAGUGUUAUACAGUGUUAUACAAUCUUAAAAAGAAGUAGCAUGAAAAUGAAAAAUGGGCAGCAAGGCUCUAAGUGUAGUGCAGUGUAAGUGAAGUGAAGUGCAGUGUAAGUGCAGUGUAAGUGAAGUGAAGUGCAAGGAAAAAUAUCUGUUUGGCUGGAAAGGGGCUAAUAGGCGCAACGAUAAGCAAGUCUGGAAGACGAGUACAACGAGGAGCCACAAGGAACAAGGCUGGAAGAUGAAUGCAAAUCUCUCAAAAAGAAAGCAAAUGCUUGAAACACAUUGUUAUGCAACGAUAAACUUAUACUUUGGGAACACUUCGCAAAAUGAGAAGUGAAACUAAAUGAAGAAGAAGAUUUAUCCGUAUUUAUCUUGAAACACAUUGUUAUGCAACGAUAAACUUAUACUUUGGGAACACUUCGCAAAAUGAGAAGUGAAACUAAAUGAAGAAGAAGAUUUAUCCGUAUUUAUCUUGAAAUAUAUUGUUAUGCAAAGAUGAAUUUAUAUUUUGGGAACACGUCGCAAAAUGAGAAGUGAAACUAAAUGAAGAACAAGAUUUAUCCGUAUUUAUCUUGAAACACAUUAUUAAGCAACUAUCAACUUAAACCUGGGAAACACUCGCAAAAUGAGAAGUGAAACUAAAUGAAGAAGAAGAUUUAUCCGUAUUUAUCUUGAAACACAUUGUUAUGCAACGAUAAACUUAUACUUUGGGAACACGUCGCAAAAUGAGAAGCUAAAGUAAAUGAAGAAGAAGAUUUAUCCGGAAAAGGUUAUACCGUGUUAUAAAAUUCUGAAAAAGAACCAGUCUGUUGGAGGAAGAUGCAGCGAAUGCAGAGAGCGGAAUAAAUAUUUUCGGCAAAUAAAUCAAUAAAGCGAAUGCAUUAAGCAUAUAAGUGAGAAAAUAUAAUGUAAUUAUGCUAACAGGUGAAGUGCAAGAAGAAGCAGAAGUGAAGUGUGAGUGAAGUGAAGUGCAGUUUAAAUGAAAAGAAGAGAAAGAGUGGCGGUAGAGCAGUAGGAACUAGGAAUAGCAAAUCUGCCAAAUAAGUGAAUAAUUCCUAUAAGAGAUAAAUAUAUAUCCUUUAAAUAUAAAGACAAUUUUAUAAUUUUUUUCCAGUGUUAUACAGUGUUAUACAAUCUUAAAAAGAAGUAGCAUGAAAAUGAAAAAUGGGCAGCAAGGCUCUAAGUGUAGUGCAGUGUAAGU